UUCGACACACUAUCAUUAACUGAAUCCAUAGGUUAAUGAGGCGAACCGGGGGAACUGAAACAUCUAAGUACCCCGAGGAAAAGAAAUCAACCGAGAUUCCCCCAGUAGCGGCGAGCGAACGGGGAGGAGCCCAGAGCCUGAAUCAGUGUGUGUGUUAGUGGAAGCGUCUGGAAAGGCGCGCGAUACAGGGUGACAGCCCCGUACACAAAAAUGCACAUGCUGUGAGCUCGAUGAGUAGGGCGGGACACGUGGUAUCCUGUCUGAAUAUGGGGGGACCAUCCUCCAAGGCUAAAUACUCCUGACUGACCGAUAGUGAACCAGUACCGUGAGGGAAAGGCGAAAAGAACCCCGGCGAGGGGAGUGAAAAAGAACCUGAAACCGUGUACGUACAAGCAGUAGGAGCACAGAGCAAUCUGUGUGACUGCGUACCUUUUGUAUAAUGGGUCAGCGACUUAUAUUCUGUAGCAAGGUUAACCGAAUAGGGGAGCCGAAGGGAAACCGAGUCUUAACUGGGCGUUAAGUUGCAGGGUAUAGACCCGAAACCCGGUGAUCUAGCCAUGGGCAGGUUGAAGGUUGGGUAACACUAACUGGAGGACCGAACCGACUAAUGUUGAAAAAUUAGCGGAUGACUUGUGGCUGGGGGUGAAAGGCCAAUCAAACCGGGAGAUAGCUGGUUCUCCCCGAAAGCUAUUUAGGUAGCGCCUCGUGAAUUCAUCUCCGGGGGUAGAGCACUGUUUCGGCAAGGGGGUCAUCCCGACUUACCAACCCGAUGCAAACUGCGAAUACCGGAGAAUGUUAUCACGGGAGACACACGGCGGGUGCUAACGUCCGUCGUGAAGAGGGAAACAACCCAGACCGCCAGCUAAGGUCCCAAAGUCAUGGUUAAGUGGGAAACGAUGUGGGAAGGCCCAGACAGCCAGGAUGUUGGCUUAGAAGCAGCCAUCAUUUAAAGAAAGCGUAAUAGCUCACUGGUCGAGUCGGCCUGCGCGGAAGAUGUAACGGGGCUAAACCAUGCACCGAAGCUGCGGCAGCGACACUGUGUGUUGUUGGGUAGGGGAGCGUUCUGUAAGCCUGUGAAGGUGUGCUGUGAGGCAUGCUGGAGGUAUCAGAAGUGCGAAUGCUGACAUAAGUAACGAUAAAGCGGGUGAAAAGCCCGCUCGCCGGAAGACCAAGGGUUCCUGUCCAACGUUAAUCGGGGCAGGGUGAGUCGACCCCUAAGGCGAGGCCGAAAGGCGUAGUCGAUGGGAAACAGGUUAAUAUUCCUGUACUUGGUGUUACUGCGAAGGGGGGACGGAGAAGGCUAUGUUGGCCGGGCGACGGUUGUCCCGGUUUAAGCGUGUAGGCUGGUUUUCCAGGCAAAUCCGGAAAAUCAAGGCUGAGGCGUGAUGACGAGGCACUACGGUGCUGAAGCAACAAAUGCCCUGCUUCCAGGAAAAGCCUCUAAGCAUCAGGUAACAUCAAAUCGUACCCCAAACCGACACAGGUGGUCAGGUAGAGAAUACCAAGGCGCUUGAGAGAACUCGGGUGAAGGAACUAGGCAAAAUGGUGCCGUAACUUCGGGAGAAGGCACGCUGAUAUGUAGGUGAAGUCCCUCGCGGAUGGAGCUGAAAUCAGUCGAAGAUACCAGCUGGCUGCAACUGUUUAUUAAAAACACAGCACUGUGCAAACACGAAAGUGGACGUAUACGGUGUGACGCCUGCCCGGUGCCGGAAGGUUAAUUGAUGGGGUCAGCGCAAGCGAAGCUCUUGAUCGAAGCCCCGGUAAACGGCGGCCGUAACUAUAACGGUCCUAAGGUAGCGAAAUUCCUUGUCGGGUAAGUUCCGACCUGCACGAAUGGCGUAAUGAUGGCCAGGCUGUCUCCACCCGAGACUCAGUGAAAUUGAACUCGCUGUGAAGAUGCAGUGUACCCGCGGCAAGACGGAAAGACCCCGUGAACCUUUACUAUAGCUUGACACUGAACAUUGAGCCUUGAUGUGUAGGAUAGGUGGGAGGCUUUGAAGUGUGGACGCCAGUCUGCAUGGAGCCGACCUUGAAAUACCACCCUUUAAUGUUUGAUGUUCUAACGUGGACCCGUGAUCCGGGUUGCGGACAGUGUCUGGUGGGUAGUUUGACUGGGGCGGUCUCCUCCUAAAGAGUAACGGAGGAGCACGAAGGUUGGCUAAUCCUGGUCGGACAUCAGGAGGUUAGUGCAAUGGCAUAAGCCAGCUUGACUGCGAGCGUGACGGCGCGAGCAGGUGCGAAAGCAGGUCAUAGUGAUCCGGUGGUUCUGAAUGGAAGGGCCAUCGCUCAACGGAUAAAAGGUACUCCGGGGAUAACAGGCUGAUACCGCCCAAGAGUUCAUAUCGACGGCGGUGUUUGGCACCUCGAUGUCGGCUCAUCACAUCCUGGGGCUGAAGUAGGUCCCAAGGGUAUGGCUGUUCGCCAUUUAAAGUGGUACGCGAGCUGGGUUUAGAACGUCGUGAGACAGUUCGGUCCCUAUCUGCCGUGGGCGCUGGAGAACUGAGGGGGGCUGCUCCUAGUACGAGAGGACCGGAGUGGACGCAUCACUGGUGUUCGGGUUGUCAUGCCAAUGGCACUGCCCGGUAGCUAAAUGCGGAAGAGAUAAGUGCUGAAAGCAUCUAAGCACGAAACUUGCCCCGAGAUGAGUUCUCCCUGACCCUUUAAGGGUCCUGAAGGAACGUUGAAGACGACGACGUUGAUAGGCCGGGUGUGUAAGCGCAGCGAUGCGUUGAGCUAACCGGUACUAAUGAACCGUGAGGCUUAACCUU
RNAcentral lists this ribosomal RNA (2768 nucleotides) under Escherichia coli. RNAcentral's name for it is "partial 23S ribosomal RNA". It matches the Rfam family "Bacterial large subunit ribosomal RNA". The record is from RNAcentral. Lineage: Bacteria; Pseudomonadati; Pseudomonadota; Gammaproteobacteria; Enterobacterales; Enterobacteriaceae.